AUGGUGCAAGUGGCAUGUGUUAAAAAAGCUAAGGAGUCACUAGGGAGCAAUUAUACAAACAAGUCAGACUUCAGGACAGAGUUUCACCGUCUUUGUGACGAAAUGCUGACUAUAGAAGAAUUUGAAAACGGGUGGUCCAAUUUAACUGUGAAGUACGGGUUGGCGAGUAACACAUUCCUAGCUCAAGUUUACGAGGUUAGGGAGAAAUGGGCCAAACCAUAUUUCAGUGGUAAAUUCUGUGCAAAAAUGACAAGAACACAACGGAGUGAGAGUGCGAACCACAUGCUUAAAAAUUAUGUGCCACCAGCAUGUCCAAUGAACGUUUUCGUUAAGCAGUAUGGCAAGCUACAAUAUGACAGAGAGCAGGAGGAAGGAUUUCAAGACAAAAGGACAAGGCUGGGGGGGCUGUUAUAA
RNAcentral lists this ribosomal RNA (414 nucleotides) under Triticum aestivum (bread wheat). RNAcentral describes it as "partial small subunit ribosomal RNA". Lineage: Eukaryota; Viridiplantae; Streptophyta; Magnoliopsida; Poales; Poaceae. The record is from RNAcentral.